RNAcentral lists this ribosomal RNA (405 nucleotides) under uncultured organism. RNAcentral describes it as "bacterial SSU rRNA". It matches the Rfam family "Bacterial small subunit ribosomal RNA", at positions 45 to 433 of the family's 1533-position model. The record is from RNAcentral.
UGCCUCAGACAUGCAAGUCGAACGAGAAAGUCCCCUUCGGGGGAUAAGUAAAGUGGCGUCCGGGUGAGUAACACGUAGGUAAUCUACCUUCGGGUGGGGAAUAACCCAGGGAAACUUGGGCUAACACCGCAUAAUGCAGCGGCACCACAUGGUGACAGUUGUUAAAGCGGGGGAUUUUAGGACCUCGCGCCUGAAGAGGAGCCUGCGGCGGAUUAGCUAGUUGGUAAGGUAACGGCUUACCAAGGCGACGAUCAGUAGCCGGUCUGAGAGGACGGUCGGCCACACUGGAACUGAGACACGGUCCAGACUCCUACGGGAGGCAGCAGUGGGGAGUUUUUCGCAAUGGGGGAAACCCUGACGAAGCAAUGCCGCGUGGAUGAUGAAGUGUCUCGGUACGUAAAAUCC